GACGAACGCUGGCGGCGUGCCUAAUACAUGCAAGUCGAACGCUUCUUUCCUCCCGAGUGCUUGCACUCAAUUGGAAAGCGGAGUGGCGGACGGGUGAGUAACACGUGGGUAACCUACCCAUCAGAGGGGGAUAACACUUGGAAACAGGUGCUAAUACCGCAUAACAGUUUAUGCCGCAUGGCAUAAGAGUGAAAGGCGCUUUCGGGUGUCGCUGAUGGAUGGACCCGCGGUGCAUUAGCUAGUUGGUGAGGUAACGGCUCACCAGGGCCACGAUGCAUAGCCGACCUGAGAGGGUGAUCGGCCACACUGGGACUGAGACACGGCCCAGACUCCUACGGGAGGCAGCAGUAGGGAAUCUUCGGCAAUGGACGAAAGUCUGACCGAGCAACGCCGCGUGAGUGAAGAAGGUGUUCGGAUCGUAAAACUCUGUUGUUAGAGAAGAACAAGGACGUUAGUAACUGAACGUCCCCUGACGGUAUCUAACCAGAAAGCCACGGCUAACUACGUG
This 508-nucleotide ribosomal RNA is filed under the name uncultured bacterium. Its description in RNAcentral is "partial 16S ribosomal RNA". It matches the Rfam family "Bacterial small subunit ribosomal RNA", at positions 28 to 507 of the family's 1533-position model. The record is from RNAcentral.